Molecule: transfer RNA, 85 nt
Filed under: Ovis aries (sheep)
Lineage: Eukaryota; Metazoa; Chordata; Mammalia; Artiodactyla; Bovidae
Rfam family: tRNA
About the family: Transfer RNA (tRNA) molecules are approximately 80 nucleotides in length.
Source: Rfam by way of RNAcentral
UUCCAGGUGUCUCAGACGGUAAAGAAUCUGCCUGAAGAAUCUGCCUGCAGUGCAGGAAACCCGGGUUUGAUCCCUGGUUUGGGAA